RNAcentral lists this ribosomal RNA (395 nucleotides) under uncultured bacterium. RNAcentral describes it as "partial 16S ribosomal RNA". It matches the Rfam family "Bacterial small subunit ribosomal RNA", at positions 523 to 918 of the family's 1533-position model. The record is from RNAcentral.
AUACGUAGGGUGCAAGCGUUAAUCGGAAUUACUGGGCGUAAAGCGUGCGCAGGCGGUUUUGUAAGACAGUGGUGAAAUCCCCGGGCUCAACCUGGGAACUGCCAUUGUGACUGCAAGGCUGGGGUGCGGCAGAGGGGGAUGGAAUUCCGCGUGUGGCAGUGAAAUGCGUAGAUAUGCGGAGGAACACCGAUGGCGAAGGCAAUCCCCUGGGCCUGCACUGACGCUCAUGCACGAAAGCGUGGGGAGCAAACAGGAUUAGAUACCCUGGUAGUCCACGCCCUAAACGAUGUCAACUGGUUGUUGGGGAUUUAUUUUCUCAGUAACGAAGCUAACGCGUGAAGUUGACCGCCUGGGGAGUACGGCCGCAAGGUUAAAACUCAAAUGAAUUGACGGGG